ACGAACGCUGGCGGCGCGCCUAACACAUGCCAGUCGAACGGAGCUGAGAGAAGCUUGCUUUUCUUAGCUUAGUGGCGAACGGGUGAGUAACGCGUGAGUAACCUGCCCUGGAGUGGGGGACAACAGUUGGAAACGACUGCUAAUACCGCAUAAGCCCACGAUCCGGCAUCGGAUUGAGGGAAAAGGAUUUAUUCGCUUCAGGAUGGACUCGCGUCCAAUUAGCUAGUUGGUGAGGUAACGGCCCACCAAGGCGACGAUUGGUAGCCGGACUGAGAGGUUGAACGGCCACAUUGGGACUGAGACACGGCCCAGACUCCUACGGGAGGCAGCAGUGGGGGAUAUUGCACAAUGGGGGAAACCCUGAUGCAGCGACGCCGCGUGGAGGAAGAAGGUUUUCGGAUUGUAAACUCCUGUCGUUAGGGACGAUAAUGACGGUACCUAACAAGAAAGCACCGGCUAACUACGUG
This 467-nucleotide ribosomal RNA is filed under the name uncultured bacterium. Its description in RNAcentral is "partial 16S ribosomal RNA". It matches the Rfam family "Bacterial small subunit ribosomal RNA", at positions 29 to 507 of the family's 1533-position model. The record is from RNAcentral.